RNAcentral lists this long non-coding RNA (488 nucleotides) under Vulpes vulpes (red fox). RNAcentral's name for it is "lncRNA (ENSVVUG00000022920.1)". Lineage: Eukaryota; Metazoa; Chordata; Mammalia; Carnivora; Canidae. The record is from RNAcentral.
UCAAGAUCCACUCAUAUCUCAAAUGGCAAGAUACCCUCCCUUAUCAUGGCUGGAUAACAUUCCCACCCACCACCGCCCCUUCCCAUACCAUCAGAGACCUCAGGACCCACUCUACACCACCCUAGUGCACUGAUGAGUGCCCCGGAAUUCUCAACUCUGGCCAGGCCAUUGCUUAUUAUUCUGUCCUCACAGCGAACCUACAGGUUAGGCUCAGGACCAGAGCAUGAUGAAUAUCACUUUUCCACUGGGGCUGAAGUCACAGGGCCAAAAGACAGAGGCCGUCAUCCAGAAAACAAAAUUGUUUUUGUCUGAAUGUGCCAUUGGAGAUACUCUGAAAAACAGGCUUUUCAGAAUCCCAGUGCCAGACACAAAUUAGGUACUCACUACAUGUGCGUUAUUUGGUUGGUUGUUUUUAGACAUGUGUGGAAUGAUGCCAUUAUGCUACAGAUACUCCAACACACAAAAUCAAAGUUUUUGUCAAGGAAGGC